This 206-nucleotide ribosomal RNA is filed under the name uncultured bacterium. RNAcentral describes it as "partial 16S ribosomal RNA". It matches the Rfam family "Bacterial small subunit ribosomal RNA", at positions 568 to 774 of the family's 1533-position model. The record is from RNAcentral.
CGCGUAGGCGGCUCGGCACGUCCGUUGUGAAAUCGCCCGGCUCAACUGGGCGGGGUCAGCGGAUACGGUCGAGCUUGAGCAAGCUAGGGGGCAAUGGAAUUCCCGGUGUAGUGGUGGAAUGCGUAGAUAUCGGGAGGAACACCAGUGGCGAAGGCGGUUGCCUGGGGCUUUGCUGACGCUGAGGCGCGAAAGCGUGGGAGCGAUCC